This 253-nucleotide ribosomal RNA is filed under the name uncultured bacterium. RNAcentral's name for it is "partial 16S ribosomal RNA". It matches the Rfam family "Bacterial small subunit ribosomal RNA", at positions 524 to 776 of the family's 1533-position model. The record is from RNAcentral.
UACGUAGGGUGCGAGCGUUGUCCGGAAUUAUUGGGCGUUAAGAGCUUGUAGGCGGUUUGUCGCGUCUGCCGUGAAAAUCCGGGGCUCAACCCCGGACUUGCGGUGGGUACGGGCAGACUAGAGUGUGGUAGGGGAGACUGGAAUUCCUGGUGUAGCGGUGAAAUGCGCAGAUAUCAGGAGGAACACCGAUGGCGAAGGCAGGUCUCUGGGCCACUACUGACGCUGAGAAGCGAAAGCGUGGGGAGCGAACAGG